RNAcentral lists this ribosomal RNA (491 nucleotides) under uncultured bacterium. Its description in RNAcentral is "partial 16S ribosomal RNA". It matches the Rfam family "Bacterial small subunit ribosomal RNA", at positions 30 to 508 of the family's 1533-position model. The record is from RNAcentral.
AUUGAACGCUGGCGGCAGGCCUAACACAUGCAAGUCGAACGGUAACAGGAAGAAGCUUGCUUCUUUGCUGACGAGUGGCGGACGGGUGAGUAAUGUCUGGGAAACUGCCUGAUGGAGGGGGAUAACUACUGGAAACGGUAGCUAAUACCGCAUAACGUCGCAAGACCAAAGAGGGGGACCUUCGGGCCUCUUGCCAUCGGAUGUGCCCAGAUGGGAUUAGCUAGUAGGUGGGGUAACGGCUCACCUAGGCGACGAUCCCUAGCUGGUCUGAGAGGAUGACCAGCCACACUGGAACUGAGACACGGUCCAGACUCCUACGGGAGGCAGCAGUGGGGAAUAUUGCACAAUGGGCGCAAGCCUGAUGCAGCCAUGCCGCGUGUAUGAAGAAGGCCUUCGGGUUGUAAAGUACUUUCAGCGGGGAGGAAGGGAGUAAAGUUAAUACCUUUACUCAUUGACGUUACCCGCAGAAGAAGCACCGGCUAACGCCGUGC